AAGAGAGUUUUGAGAGAAAACCUAGAGAGAAGAAAGAAAGAACCAUCCGAAAACUCAUCGAACCACCGCUGAAAGUUGCCGCCAGCCACGAUCUAAUGACAAGGACUUCUUGGAAGGAAGAAGAAGAUGUUGGUAUUCGGAGUCCCGUUUUCCAUCACGAGAUCGAGAAAAUCGGCAAGAGGGAAUUCUCCACAAGAUUCAUGAAGGAAACCAGCCGAAAUUCUGGUCCGAAGGGGAAGAUCCGAGCCGAUUUCCAAGAACGUUGGAGAGAGAAAUUUUUUUGACAAGUCACGUGUCAAACCGGCCCAGUGAAGUACGAUUGUAGAAUCCAACCCGCACUGACACCCACGACUAGACUUCGUUUGGGUUCAUGGUGGCGCGUGAGGAUGCGUGGCAGCACGUGGGAGCGCGGACCUAAUUGGGGAAAAUCAGUAUUUUUUUAGACACUUUAC
This is a long non-coding RNA of Cucurbita pepo subsp. pepo (vegetable marrow), 452 nucleotides long. RefSeq lists it as uncharacterized. NCBI's taxonomy places the organism in Eukaryota, Viridiplantae, Streptophyta, Magnoliopsida, Cucurbitales, Cucurbitaceae. The record is from RefSeq and is a predicted model, not a curated record.